RNAcentral lists this transfer RNA (64 nucleotides) under Eratyrus mucronatus. RNAcentral's name for it is "tRNA-Asp". Lineage: Eukaryota; Metazoa; Arthropoda; Insecta; Hemiptera; Reduviidae. The record is from RNAcentral.
AAGAAAUUAGUUUAAAUAAAACAUUAGACUGUCAGACUAAAAAUAUUACUAUUAAUAUUUCUUA